RNAcentral lists this long non-coding RNA (5544 nucleotides) under Sus scrofa (pig). RNAcentral's name for it is "lncRNA (ENSSSCG00055006712.1)". Lineage: Eukaryota; Metazoa; Chordata; Mammalia; Artiodactyla; Suidae. The record is from RNAcentral.
CUGAGCCAGGACUCGAACCUGCACCACAGCAGUGACCCAAGCCGCUGCAGAGACAAUGCUAGAUCCUUAAUGUGAUGCAUCACAAGAGAACUCCCAUAAGUGACUUUUUAAAGAUAUUUGCCUUAGUCCAUUCCAUGAUACGAAUGACUACUCCUUAAAUAUUUACUUAUUUAUUUUGGAAUUUCAUGGGCUGGAAUUUCCUAAAUCAGAUGAAAGAUGCAUAACAAGAAAAUAGGAGGAACACAAAUACACACAUAAUUUAUUUUUAUUAUAAAAUUAUAUAUUAAUAAAUCAUAUAUUCCAGACAGUAAAGCUAAAAUACUUUACAGGCAUAAUCUAACUGAAUUUUCCAACAUUCCUAUAAGAUAUUGUUACUUCCAUAUAUACUUAAGACAACUGUGGUUUAUAAAGAUGACGUAUAGUUGUAACACAACAAGCAGUAAAUAGGGAAGCUAGGAUCUGAACCCACAAUGGUCUGAUUCUAAAGCCUGUAUUCUUAUCCCUAUAUACUACUCACAUGACUGUAAUAGAAAAUAAAUUUCGUUCCUUCUUAUUCUUUAAUAAGGUUUUGAAUCAUCCACAGACAUACCAAGAUAUUGAGGGAAACCAGUGCAGAUGAGCACAACCAUACUCUCUCAAAAAAGUCUAGGUUUGGUAGGUGUCCAAACACCUAAAGAAGUUCGGCACUGCCAGCAGGCAGCAUGGGAGGUGACUCGCAGUUAGGCUGGGAGCACGCAAAGUGGGACCCCACCCAAUCGGAACGCAGACAUUCACCUGCUCUUUGGCCAUCACCCUUAGACAGUCCAAAGCAAUCUUUGCUUCCACACACACCUAUGUAAGACAUCUGGCUCCUAGUAAACUAUUAAUGAUAGAAGGCAAGGCAAUAAACCUUCCUUGGAAGAUCUUAAAAGAACAAAGCCUUCCGCUAAUGACAUUUUAAUGAGGAAAUGCAUAGGCUAAUUACUGUAAUCUUCUAGCUGGUCUAUAAAAAGCCUACACCCAAGUGAUGUAAAUAUCUGCUGAUUCAGACCAUACUGGAAAGUUUUCAUUUUAUAUUUUAAAUCACUGAAGGAAACAAAGAAAGAAAUAGGGGAAAAAAACCUCAAUCCUUAGUCAAGGAGCACCCCAUCUAAGAAGAGGAUUAACAGGGAGCCCUCAGAGCAAGAUAAAUGUUUUUUCAAUGAGUAUUUACCCAAGUCCCCAAAUGACUGUUUAGCAGGACGUAAAUCUGACACAACCCUUGGCUAGUGAAACAGACUAAGCAACAUCAACACUCCAUUUUGAGGUAAGGAACAGUUUAGGCCUGGGGAAGAGACAAGCCUGGCAGUGUCUUGCACUGCUAUCACAUAUAUGCAUUCAUCUCUUUUCAUUUAAGUUGUGGGUGCGUGACACGUAGGACACUGGCUCAUAAGCACUGGUGGAAGCUAGAAAUAUCCCUGGUUAUUGACUUAGGAAGCUGAGAAAUCAUCGUGGGAAGCUGCCAUAGAUCACAUGGAAUUUUAAGCCAGUUUUUUUGUUUCUUUUUUUUUUUUUUUCUUUUUGUCUUUUCUGGAGCUGCACCCACAGCACAUGGAGGUUCCCAGGCUAGGGGUCUCGUUAGCGCUGUAGCCGCCAGACUAUGCCACAGCCACAGCAACACCAGAUCCGAGCUGCGUCUGUGACCUACACCACAGCUCACGGCCACUCCCCAUUGAGCAAGGCCAGGGAUCGAACCCACAACCUCAUGGUUAUAAAUUAUCUGUUGCAUUUUUCACAUGUGAGAUAGGAACAUAUCACAACAUAAAAAUCUAAAUAAAUAUGUCUUAUGAUUGUAUUAAGAAUUUUCUUUAAUGACAAAGAAAGUCAUUAUAAAUUGCAGAGUUGAUUGUAUUAAGAAUUUUCUUUAAUGACAAAGAAAGUCAUUAUAAAUUGCAGAGUACAUAUUUCUGCAAUGCAUGACUAUGAAAUAAGAUAUGAAAGGAGUUAAUGUGUUGUAUAAACAGAAACUUGGGCUUGUAUUACCAGCUUUCCCAUCAUUAGGAAAGCAGUGGAUAACAUUAUAGAAGAGUAAUAUAUAAUGUGACAUAUUGUUGUACUACUGGAGAACACAGUAUUUGAAUUUCGAUUCAAUAAGGCUUCAAUAUAGUAUAUUGUACUUGAACCUAAUGCUUGAGGAAGAUGCUAUGUUGACGUUUCUGAAAAAAAGAGACCAUCUAAUCUCAAGGACGUAUAUUCAUCUACAGAGAAAUUUUACAGUAUUUCAACAGAAAUUAUGAUACACUGAAAGAAGUAUGAAAUGGUUAACCACACAGGAUGAAAACGCUAUGGCUGACAUGCCCACAGCUUCAUCCUGAACAAAAUUGUUAGCAAUGAUACUUACACAUUGUAAAUUCUAUAGAAAAUUCCUGUCACUGUUCAGCAGUAACAAACCCGACCGGUAACCAUGAGGAUGUGUGUUUGAUCCCUCGCCUCGCUCAGUGUGUCGAUUUAGCACUGCCACGACCUGUGGUGUAAGUCACAGAUACCACUUAGAUCCUGCAUUGCUGUGGCUGUGGCUGUGUGGCUGGUGGCUGUAGCUCCAACUUGACCCCUAGCCUGGGAACUUCCAUAUGCCAUGGGUGUGGCCCUAAAAAGCAAAAAAAAAAAAAUUACUUACAUAAAAUUUUAAAAGGCUAUAUUGGAUUACACAUAAUUCAAACAAUAUCAGUAAAAAGAAGAGUAACCAAGGCCCACCAGAUGUCCAUUUCUACAGAAAUCAACUAUAAUGAGAUUUAGGGAAAAAUCACACCUCACAAUAAUACUGUAAUGAAAGUUGAUCUUUUUACUGAAAGAGGUAACUAGAAUUCAACUUUGCCCAGCCUGUGAGAGGAACACCCUCAAUUUUAGAAUUUGCUUCAGCAAAAAACAAACAAACAAAAAAACCAGCAUUAAAGACAUUUGUGAAAUGAUAGCUGAGUAAGCAAUAGACAAUUAAGGAAUUUAAAACAGCUGCUAGGAGAUGAGAUGAGCCAACUGGCAGGAAAAAGACAGUUUUAAUACUACUUAUCAUAUUUAAAAGAAAACAAGAAUACCCCCUUAUUCUUUAAUGUAGAGCAUUUCUCAUUCCAUUCAAACAUCCACUUUGGCAAAACAAAAUCUACUAUGUGUUACCUAGCAAAGAUUUUAAGUUGAUUAAGUACCAAUCAACAGUUAUUAUCAUAUCUUUGGAUUAAAGCCUCAGGUAUAGAGAAAGUGCAAAGGGAAGUGAUAGCAGAAAAAGAGUGCCAAGCUAGAAGAGCAAUCAUCCUUCUCACUGUGGUUUUUAUUAAAAACACAACAAAUAUUUGGCUCUGACGCCUCUUGUGCUCAGAAGCCAUCCAGAUAUCACUAUAUCAACAUUCCGAAGGAUAUCAAGCACACUUUGUGAGCCAUUCAGCUAUUGUUCCCCCUGAACACACUCCUCCUCAAACCACGAUCAGCACCAGAGCAAGGCCAAAUACCUUUCCAUGUGAAUACACAGGGCUCCACAAAAGGUGGCUUCACUAGGUGGAUGACAAGUGGCUAACAGCAUACUCAACGUGGCUCUGGAAUCAGCACCUCCAAAAUAAAAAGCUGCCAGCUCAGGUGAGCUCCAUGUCAGAAUUCCUUCUCCCUCCCUCAAUACCAAAGACAUAAAGGAGCUCUGAGGAUGCUCAAGAGAGAAGCGGUGCAACUGUCAAGUGCCAGGAACCUUGCUUGUAUUAUCUCAUAGAUCAUCUCACAGCUAUGUUUAUAUUCAUUGCACAGAUAAAGAAAUGGAGACUCAAGCAGGCAAAGAAACCUUUCACAUAACGAUACCGAUUGUCUGAAUGGUAUCCUAGGCAUCAAUCUGGGUCCACAUUUUAGAGACAGGAAUCUCUCCUUCUUGAGGAAAGCAUCAAAUAUUACCAGUGCCAGAGUAGGGAAUCUGUCUUCUAUUCAGCCAAAAACUACAGUCGCAGCUCCCUGCCUCUGGAGUGCCUGUCCUCUUUCUAGAAUUCCAUAUUUAUCAAGCUGGCCAUAGGAUGUCCCUCUUUGGGUUUUGAUUUACAUCAUUUUGCCUCAUUAUCACCUAAUUAGAAUUGAUAGGGUCAUUUAGAAACACAUUCUCCUGAGAAAUGAGGAUGGGCCUGCUUGGUCAGCUCCCCCUUGCAGUGCUGACAGCAUCUCUGAAACAUAUUAGUUAUGCGCCUUCUUCAUCCGGUUACUCCAGAUAUAGUCACUAGUGCUGAGCAGUCCUGGCAGUGCCUGCAUUAAAUUCUUACAUUUUUUAUAACUCUUACUCGAAAUUUCUUUUCUUUUCUUUUUUUUCUUUUUAGGGCCACAACAAUGACAUAUGGAAGUUCCAGAGGGGCCAGGGGUCAAAUCGGAGCUGCAGCUGCAGUCCCUCACCACAGUCAUAGCAACACCAGAUCCAAGCUGCAUCUGCGACCUAGGCUGCAGCUUGUGGCAAUGCCAGAUCUUCAACUCACUGAUUGAGGCCAGGGAUCAAACCAGCAUCCUCACAGACACUAUGUUGGCUUCUUAACCUGCUGAGCCACAAUGAGAACUCCUAUUUGAAAUUUCUUAUAUGUACCUUUUCUUUCCUUCAGACAAACAGAAAGAUGUAUCUAUACUAUUAGACAUACAGUUAGUUAAUAAAGUAGACAGAACACCUAUUGAUGUCCACUGGCUAGGAAACGUGGAAUCCCUUGACAACAGAGCCCACAGCUUGUAUUACAUGAUGUUGAGAGCUAGCAUCAUACAAAACUCUUCAGAAAGUUCCAAAGAAGAUACAGGGCUCAGUCCUCACCACUCUCCAAACUCAUGGUACAGUCACCAAAUACUACAGUUCUGUUUUUCAAGCUCCCACCCGAUGGGCUGCUGAUGACAGACAGACUCACAGACCACCCACUUCUAUGGAUGAAGACUAUCCCUCCCUUAGUCAUUAGCAUCUAUCUUUCUAAAUCUCUUUCUAUGAUUAUUCUCACACUAAGGAGAAUCUCAUCUACUCUCCCCAGGCUCAGAGCACCAUCAACCUCAGUGGCCUCGUGGCUCCUCCAGAACAGACGCCUUCCUCACCAUCCUCCCUACUCUCAAAAACUUCGCUUUCCAAGCUUCACUCUUACUCAAGAAACAGUUGUAGAAUCAAAAAACCCCACCUUCUAUAAAACAAAAGAGUCCAUGUUUCACGCCUCUCCACACAGCAGCACUUAGCAGGUGCCUGGCACAUAACAGCACUCGUAACUGUCAGUGUAUCACCACUGCUGAUGAAUGUGGUGGGAGAAGGAAGUAAAAGCAAGAUUUAUCAGCUGUUAACUAACUUUGAGGGUUUUAAUAUGAUUUGUUUAUCAAAAACUUGGAUUUUAUCAAGUGAAUUAUUACAUGCUGAAGGCUUUAGAACCUUCCUGUUAAUGGAUAAGUAGGAAAGUCGUUCUAGCAGAAGUUAUGGCCCCAAACAAUGCUGAUCUCCAUUCAUAUCACAAAGAUGUCUCCUAACUACCUGGCACAAGCCCUAACAACGUCCUUUUUUUGGUGUGAUUCUAAAACAAGACCAGUUGAGUAUGCCUGACAAUCCAUUUUCUCUUC